Molecule: ribosomal RNA, 690 nt
Filed under: Burkholderia sp. Mi76
Lineage: Bacteria; Pseudomonadati; Pseudomonadota; Betaproteobacteria; Burkholderiales; Burkholderiaceae
Description: bacterial SSU rRNA
Rfam family: Bacterial small subunit ribosomal RNA
Source: RNAcentral
GGCGAGUGGCGAACGGGUGAGUAAUACAUCGGAACGUGUCCUGGAGUGGGGGAUAGCCCGGCGAAAGCCGGAUUAAUACCGCAUACGAUCUUGGGAUGAAAGCGGGGGACCGAAAGGCCUCGCGCUCAAGGGGCGGCCGAUGGCAGAUUAGCUAGUUGGUGGGGUAAAGGCCUACCAAGGCGACGAUCUGUAGCUGGUCUGAGAGGACGACCAGCCACACUGGGACUGAGACACGGCCUAUACUCCUACGGGAGGCAGCAGUGGGGAAUUUUGGACAAUGGGGGCAACCCUGAUCCAGCAAUGCCGCGUGUGUGAAGAAGGCCUUCGGGUUGUAAAGCACUUUUGUCCGGAAAGAAAACCUCCGUCCUAAUACGGUGGGGGGAUGACGGUACCGGAAGAAUAAGCACCGGCUAACUACGUGCCAGCAGCCGCGGUAAUACGUAGGGUGCAAGCGUUAAUCGGAAUUACUGGGCGUAAAGCGUGCGCAGGCGGUUCGCUAAGACCGAUGUGAAAUCCCCGGGCUUAACCUGGGAACUGCAUUGGUGACUGGCGGGCUAGAGUAUGGCAGAGGGGGGUAGAAUUCCACGUGUAGCAGUGAAAUGCGUAGAGAUGUGGAGGAAUACCGAUGGCGAAGGCAGCCCCCUGGGCCAAUACUGACGCUCAUGCACGAAAGCGUGGGGAGCAAACAGG